RNAcentral lists this ribosomal RNA (465 nucleotides) under uncultured bacterium. RNAcentral's name for it is "partial 16S ribosomal RNA". It matches the Rfam family "Bacterial small subunit ribosomal RNA", at positions 338 to 795 of the family's 1533-position model. The record is from RNAcentral.
CCUACGGGAGGCAGCAGUAGGGAAUCUUCCACAAUGGACGAAAGUCUGAUGGAGCAACGCCGCGUGAGUGAAGAAGGGUUUCGGCUCGUAAAGCUCUGUUGGUAGUGAAGAAAGAUAGAGGUAGUAACUGGCCUUUAUUUGACGGUAAUUACUUAGAAAGUCACGGCUAACUACGUGCAAGCAGCCGCGGUAAUACGUAGGUGGCAAGCGUUGUCCGGAUUGAUUGGGCGUAAAGCGAGUGCAGGCGGUUCAAUAAGUCUGAUGUGAAAGCCUUCGGCUCAACCGGAGAAUUGCAUCAGAAACUGUUGAACUUGAGUGCAGAAGAGGAGAGUGGAACUCCAUGUGUAGCGGUGGAAUGCGUAGAUAUAUGGAAGAACACCAGUGGCGAAGGCGGCUCUCUGGUCUGCAACUGACGCUGAGGCUCGAAAGCAUGGGUAGCGAACAGGAUUAGAUACCCGGGUAGUC